GGGCUCGUGGUUUAGUGGUAUAAUACUCCCUUAGCAUCUCGCAGCUUCACCUGAAGCCGUUCGAAAUUCUGACUGGGAGUGGUCCGGGGUUCGAUUCCCCGCGAGUCCA
This 109-nucleotide transfer RNA is filed under the name Didymella heteroderae. It matches the Rfam family "tRNA". From Rfam's summary of the family: Transfer RNA (tRNA) molecules are approximately 80 nucleotides in length. Their secondary structure includes four short double-helical elements and three loops (D, anti-codon, and T loops). Further hydrogen bonds mediate the characteristic L-shaped molecular structure. tRNAs have two regions of fundamental functional importance: the anti-codon, which is responsible for specific mRNA codon recognition, and the 3' end, to which the tRNAs corresponding amino acid is attached (by aminoacyl-tRNA synthetases). tRNAs cope with the degeneracy of the genetic code in two manners: having more than one tRNA (with a specific anti-codon) for a particular amino acid; and 'wobble' base-pairing, i.e. permitting non-standard base-pairing at the 3rd anti-codon position. Lineage: Eukaryota; Fungi; Ascomycota; Dothideomycetes; Pleosporales; Didymellaceae. The record is from Rfam by way of RNAcentral.